This 291-nucleotide long non-coding RNA is filed under the name Phasianus colchicus (ring-necked pheasant). RNAcentral describes it as "lncRNA (ENSPCLG00000015548.1)". The record is from RNAcentral. Lineage: Eukaryota; Metazoa; Chordata; Aves; Galliformes; Phasianidae.
AUGCUUAGGGGAUACUGGUGCCCUCUGAGAGAUCUGGAACACCUCAAGAGCUUCAGCCGAGAUGGAUGGAUGGUCAGGAAGUCAAUGAGGUGGUCAAAUACAUAUCCAUGGUUUGGUCAUAUUGUCACUGUUCCAGGACUUCCCUCACAUUUCCACUUUCCACCAUAUGGCUGUCAUUACCUCAAAUGUGCGAUAUUCGUAAGUGCUGGAGAUGUUCAUAAUAGAAUUCUAUGUGAUGCUAAUAGUUAAGAAUGUGUAUAGCCUAUGUCCAUUCUCUUAGCUGCUUCUAAU